UGGGGAAUAUUGCACAAUGGGCGCAAGCCUGAUGCAGCCAUGCCGCGUGUGUGAAGAAGGCCUUCGGGUUGUAAAGCACUUUCAGCGAGGAGGAAGGUGGUGAACUUAAUACGUUCAUCAAUUGACGUUACUCGCAGAAGAAGCACCGGCUAACUCCGUGCCAGCAGCCGCGGUAAUACGGAGGGUGCAAGCGUUAAUCGGAAUUACUGGGCGUAAAGCGCACGCAGGCGGUUUGUUAAGUCAGAUGUGAAAUCCCCGGGCUCAACCUGGGAACUGCAUUUGAAACUGGCAAGCUAGAGUCUCGUAGAGGGGGGUAGAAUUCCAGGUGUAGCGGUGAAAUGCGUAGAGAUCUGGAGGAAUACCGGUGGCGAAGGCGGCCCCCCUGGACGAAGACUGACGCUCAGGUGCGAAAGCGUGGGGCAGCAAACAGGAUUAGAUACCCUGGUAGUCCACGCUGUAAACGAUGUCGAUUUUGGAGGUUGUGCCCUUGAGGCGUGGCUUCCGGAGCUAACGCGUUAAAUCGACCGCCUGGGGAGUACGG
This 541-nucleotide ribosomal RNA is filed under the name uncultured bacterium. Its description in RNAcentral is "partial 16S ribosomal RNA". It matches the Rfam family "Bacterial small subunit ribosomal RNA", at positions 355 to 885 of the family's 1533-position model. The record is from RNAcentral.